Long non-coding RNA from Bombina bombina (fire-bellied toad), 754 nucleotides. RefSeq lists it as uncharacterized. The transcript has 2 exons. Lineage: Eukaryota; Metazoa; Chordata; Amphibia; Anura; Bombinatoridae. The record is from RefSeq and is a predicted model, not a curated record.
GAAAUAUAGAAUCUAAAAUAGGAAAAACAGCUAUGAUCCAUACAAUGUAACAAAACUUCUAACUAGCAAAAAUCUAUUCAUAUGCUUUACCGUUACUUGCUAGUAUACUGUAUAUGUGCUGACAAUAUAAGCUGCUUACUGAGCACGGUCAAUCACAUAUAUUGCAGGAUCUCCUUACUUGAUGCAGCUAUAGGAGACAGACCAACUGAAGUCUGGGCAACAAGAUAAAGAAAUAAUGAAAGAAGGAAAAAAUUACAGAAAGCUAUGCCAUUCUAACUUCUUAUUUAAACCUUUAGGGGACAAUGUUUCAAGCUCAACUGUCCAUUUAGUUUCUCUUUGCAGGAGCAACUUGUUUCUGUCUGAUCGUGAUCAAUGAUAAAGUAUCUUAGGUCUGAUACUCUGUGUCCACUUUCCUGAAAGUGGCGUGCCACUGGUUGAUCGGAUUCUCCUUUUUCUAUAGCUUGGCAGAUGGCACUCUGAUGAUUCACCAUUCUUGUCUUUAAGGUAUCACUCAUUUUACCGACAUAGAAAAAACUACAGGGACAAUGGAAUAUAAAUUGAAAAACUGAAGACAUACACACUCAACUGGAUAUUCAAUGCUUUGGCAUAACCCAAAGACUGGAACUGAUUAAAAUCUGAGAAAUAUCGCCAAUAGAAAGAUGGCAAAAUGGAUUGUUAACCAAUGAUCAUCAUACUAUUUAUUGAAUGUACAUGUAAUGUUCUUCAUCUAAAUACAAAUAUUAAAAAAAAACAA